RNAcentral lists this non-coding RNA (104 nucleotides) under Bacillus sp. (in: firmicutes). Its description in RNAcentral is "Bacillus sp. Guanine sequence". It matches the Rfam family "Purine riboswitch aptamer". Rfam says of the family: Riboswitches are metabolite binding domains within certain messenger RNAs that serve as precision sensors for their corresponding targets. Allosteric rearrangement of mRNA structure is mediated by ligand binding, and this results in modulation of gene expression. Lineage: Bacteria; Bacillati; Bacillota; Bacilli; Caryophanales; Bacillaceae. RNAcentral also lists the same sequence under 1 other name. The record is from RNAcentral.
AUUUAUACGCAAUGUUUCUCUCAUAUAAUAGCGGGGAUAUGGCCUGCGAGUUUCUACCCAAAAACCGAAUAAAUUUUUGGACUAUGAGGGAAAGCACAUUCUCA